RNAcentral lists this transfer RNA (67 nucleotides) under Aularches miliaris. RNAcentral describes it as "tRNA-Thr". It matches the Rfam family "tRNA". From Rfam's summary of the family: Transfer RNA (tRNA) molecules are approximately 80 nucleotides in length. Their secondary structure includes four short double-helical elements and three loops (D, anti-codon, and T loops). The record is from RNAcentral. Lineage: Eukaryota; Metazoa; Arthropoda; Insecta; Orthoptera; Pyrgomorphidae.
GUUUUAAUAGUUUAAACAAAACAUUGGUUUUGUAAACCAAAAUUAAGGUUGCCCCACUUUUAAAACU